CCUUUUAUUGCCUUUAAGGCUUGCUCGUGGUAUAAUAUUUGUAUGAGAUCAACACGUGUCGACUAAUUUCUUAGGUGAUUUUAUUGGUUUUCAUCACGUAAAGCUUCGCUACAAAUAAUUUAAAAGUUUAUAUACCUGUUGAAGAACUACGAAACUCAAGCACUCUCAAUGCCGGUUAAUUUUUGCAUGAGUUCAGACCACUCUACUUCUUCUACAAAAAAAACUAUUAUUCUUGCUUGUGAAAAAACACCUGUAGCAGUUGUUCUCAAAAAAAAAAACUCAUGCUCCCUAGGAAUUUCUCUGCCCUCACCUGAGUGCCAAUUAAUUGGGCACAAGAGUUGAAGUUGACUAAUUAAUAUUUAAUGUCUUCCCAUAUUCUGCUCUCCGAGAAAAGGUGCUACGACGUAUAGGUAUUAUAUAUUGCUAUGGGAGAGAAAAUUCUUCAGAUGUGGUGUGCAAAAUAAUAUUUCAUCAUUUGAAGAGAGUGUAAUGUGUGUUUGGUCGUUAGUGCCCCUCACUCCACCCACAACAAUUAAUCACCUAGAGAUUGAAAUUGUUUUUACUGAUGAACAACACCUUAAGAAAAAAGCGAAACAUGAAGCAUACCACUUUCUCCCUACGGAGCUAUUUUCAACAUAUCGACAUCUUCGGAAGAUAUUCCAAAUGAGCUGAAAUUCCUACGCCAUCAAAAUCAAUUACCACCAAUUUUGGGCAAUUUCAGCCAAUUUUGGCACAUGAAGAUCCACCAGAGAUUUCACUGCACACCACGAAAGUGAUUGAGAUGAGGCACAUAUUUUUCAACAAAGGCAUCUACUCAUAGAUUGUAUUUGCAUUGCAUGGUACAUGCGGCUGCCAUGAAAACAACGUAUAUUGCCAUAUAUAUUCAAAUGACGAGAAAAGAGGUCUCAGCGACAUUCGCUUGAAUAAUCAUGAAAGAAAUUGGUAAAGGUAUAAAAAACACACUGAAAAGAAGAAGCAUGUCUAUUGAGUAGGUAGAAUUUGAUGAACUGAAAUUGCCCCCUUCGUUACAAUCAAAACUACCAAAUUAAGUGUGAUGAAUAAUUUUAAAUUAAAAUUUUUGGGGUUAAACCUCUGCAAUUGCCAAUGCUACUGGAAAAACCGCCAAAUGCUCCAUUUUGGGGAAGACGUUGAUUGAUAUAUACAAUAGAAAAGUGCCCGAGACUUCAAUAAAAUUUUACCGCACAACUUUUCUGGAUUUAUAGAACAAUUCUCGAUUGAGAGAUCACGAUCUUUUGUACAUUAAUUAAAGGGAUCUGGGUUAGAUGAAGAAGCAAUUGCGCGCCUUGCUCAACAUUCAAUAUCACAUGUUGUUGAGGUGUGCUGCUGAUGAAUGAGACGAUGAAGAUCUCUUUUUGAGAACACAUCAUCGUCUGUCUUAUUAAUUGCAAAACAUCGUGUUCAUACGCGGAAACUAUUACGUUUUAGCGAGCAUUUUAGUAAAAUUAAAAGUAAACUGAUAGACAAGGAAAGCUACCUUUAUUAGAUAUUACAUAGAUGCUACAAAAAGAGCACUUUUUACGCUUGAAGCGCGUGAAAAUUAAUUGAAGAAUAUAUAGGAUACUUUUUAAUUAUAGAUAAACUGAACAUAUAGAGAAGAUUAUCAAAAUAAAAUUUAAAAAUAUAUUUUAAUUGCAAUUUCUCCGUAAACACCCAAUUUAAUUCUUACUGAAAAUAUAAUAAACAUAUGUAUACAAAAUAUGGAUUGAGGAUAAUAAUGCAAAAAUUACUGUACUCAUACACUUCUAACGCAAUAUUUUCUCAUUGUGAGACAUUUGAAAUUUUCUAAAAUUGUAUUAAAAUUAGCUCUUCAUCUUGCACUUUAUAUUGAUGUAUAUUGACAGGUAAUAAAAAUAAAAUUUAUUACUUUUU
Molecule: long non-coding RNA, 1890 nt
Organism: Lutzomyia longipalpis
Lineage: Eukaryota; Metazoa; Arthropoda; Insecta; Diptera; Psychodidae
Exons: 3
Source: RefSeq, a predicted model, not a curated record